This 1005-nucleotide long non-coding RNA is filed under the name Anas zonorhyncha (Eastern spot-billed duck). Its description in RNAcentral is "lncRNA (ENSAZOG00000017563.1)". Lineage: Eukaryota; Metazoa; Chordata; Aves; Anseriformes; Anatidae. The record is from RNAcentral.
AUGGGGAACCGAGACUCGGUGGCGGCAGGAUGCGAGGCUGGACCCAGAGCAGCGACCGAAGCGGCACCACGCGGGCACCGCUGGGCUCCUUCCUCCUGCCGUGCCGCAGGGCGCGGGGUCUGGCACCAGGUGAAGGUGACAGCGGUGGCAUCAGGUGCCCUGCUGGCCGUGGGGUCAGGAGCACGUCAAGGUGGGGGCAUCUCCAAAGGGUUGGGGUUGGAAGGGAUGCGUAAAGACCACCCAGCCCCACAGCAGGAACCUCUUCCACCAGGUCACGGUGCCCAAAGCUCCUGUGGCACCCCCAGCUCCUGCGGCAGCACCGCGGGGUCCUUGGCACGCUCCUGGGGUGCUGAGGGGAGCAGACACAGCCCCCCCAUCGCAAAGCCCGAGGGGGGGUUGUGCCCUGAUCCCCCGGGCUGCCGCUCGCCCUCACCCUGCCCCGCUUGUGGUGCUGCGGGGGAACCGAAAGUCGUUGGAAGAGCACCGUGCCCCGCUGCUGCCGGGCUCAGGAGAACUGCUCCCGCAAAUGGGGAAUCGAGACUGCUGCUGCCAGCAGGGCACAGGGCCAGGGGUCCCCACCGGACACCCCUCGGCUCAGCCCUCACCUCCCAUGGCUGCCCCUGUGCCUGCGUGGCACCGCUGGCCCUGCCGAGCCCCGUGGUGCUGGGGUGCCCAGGGCAGGACCCGUGGUGUGACCAAGUGAUGGACGGGGCACGAACACUGGGUUUUGCCCAGGAUGGGGGGCACGGGCAGGGCUGCUCGGCCCCGCAGUGCAGGGAAGGACUUCGCUCCCCUCGGGUCGCUGCUGACGGCAGCGUUUCGUGGGUUCCCUCUGCACGCUCCCCUCCCAGGCCCCCGUCCAAGUUUCCCUUCUGGGUCCUGCCCUUAUUGGAACUUAAACUCCAUCACCCCGACACCGCCACCCGCUUUGGGGUUACAGCCAGCUCCAGACCUGUCCCAGCCCUGCUCCAGCUCUUUGCUGCCGGCUACGAUGCUGGGGUUUGA